RNAcentral lists this ribosomal RNA (253 nucleotides) under uncultured bacterium. RNAcentral describes it as "partial 16S ribosomal RNA". It matches the Rfam family "Bacterial small subunit ribosomal RNA", at positions 524 to 776 of the family's 1533-position model. The record is from RNAcentral.
UACGUAGGUGGCGAGCGGUGUCCGGAUUUACUGGGUGUAAAGGGCGUGUAGGCGGGGAAACAAGUCAGAUGUGAAAUCCCGGGGCUUAACUCCGGAGCUGCAUCUGAAACUGUUUUUCUUGAGUGCUGGAGAGGAAAGUGGAAUUCCCAGUGUAGCGGUGAAAUGCGUAGAGAUUGGGAGGAACACCAGUGGCGAAGGCGGCUUUCUGGACAGUAACUGACGCUGAGGCGCGAAAGCGUGGGGAUCGAACAGG